GGAACUCUGGGAAAGAGAGACGGGCGGGAGAUUUGCUACUGUGAUGCGGAGAAAGUUGGACGUAUGUAACCGAGGAGGGUUACCCUCAGUGGGAGGUGCAAGCCGCCGAACAGCUCAACAGAGACAACACGCGGAAGAUACCUAUCUAAGCCCAGACAGAAGCCCUUGAACAGCUGAAUUCGUGCUCAAUGAUUCUCAUGGUUCCGUGAUGGUGCUGAAUCCAGACGGGAAAGCAGAGUGCUGUGCAUGGGAGGCAGCUUUGGCAUUUCACAUACCAUGGACAGAGAAUACGUGGAGGGAGUCACGAGGGCGAGGUACUAUUUGAAAAACAAGGCAACUGGAAGACUUUGCUCAGAGGAAGGUACCCAGGAGCUGCUGCCAAAGAGCCAAAUCUCGCUUCUUCAGCUCAGCACCGUGGAGGUCGCCAUGCAGCUCUCCACGAGUUCCAAUGUUGAAUUCUUCCACAACAUUGAGCCUAAUGAAUACAUAGGUGAUUUAUUUAAACUCAAAUAAAAAACCAGCUUAGCCAACCUGAAGAAACUUGAGGAAGUCUUUAACCAGGAAACAUUUGGGUGGCUUCUGAAAUCCUGGGAGAGACAACUAGCUGAAAGAGAAUGAAGAUCUUCAAGCCUUCAUUAAGAUUGCCUCGCACUGUAGGGAAUGCAAGAAUUUUAACUCCAUGUUUGCAGUCAUCAGGAUGAAGUGGACUGCUGCCUUGUUUUAGCUGAGCCAAUUCAUUACAAGUGGCAUCAAGAACACUUUCCCCUGUCACUCUUGCAACUCAGCAGCCAACAUGAGAGACAUACACCUACGGCAGCAUGUUGGAAGUUUGGAAGGGAGAUGUUGAUCUUUAAGAAGAAAUCAUCCAGCCAAGAACUUCAGAUCAAAUGUUUUAGAACACAGACCAUUUUGAUUAGAGCUUGCUAGGGGGCGCUAUAUGGUUUUGGUUUGAACUUUGGGAAAAGCCAAGCUUGAAAGGACUAGACCACAGUUUAUAAAAUGAAGCCAUGAAAGUAGGUAGGGAAGGAAGCAGCCACUACCUAAGAGCUGUCUUCCCUGUCUCCCCCGCUGAGAGCUGUGCAUGUCACAGGCAAGUAGGAGGAAGGGAAUGAGGCAAGAGUAGGAGUCAGAUGAGGUUUACAUCUCAAAGAGACUGGGAAUCCCCAGUGCUUAGACCCUGGCUCAUGAAGAGACAGACCAGGAGUGGUCAUGGGAGGAUACCCCAAGGUGAUGGUGCUAAGGCCUGGGGUCAUUAAAUGACCUGCACAUAGCCACAUGUCACUGAGCACUUAACGCUGAUCUUCAAUUCUGAGCAUCCAGUUUUUGUACUCUAUAAAUUUAGUAUAAUAUCACAUUCUAUGUUAGAGUCAUUUUGACACUUAAAUAAAAUUGUUAUCCAGUA
RNAcentral lists this long non-coding RNA (1402 nucleotides) under Mus musculus (house mouse). Its description in RNAcentral is "pluripotency associated transcript 20". The record is from RNAcentral. Lineage: Eukaryota; Metazoa; Chordata; Mammalia; Rodentia; Muridae.